GAUGAACGCUGGCGGCGUGCCUAAUACAUGCGAGUCGAGCGAACAGACGAGGAGCUUGCUCCUCUGACGUUAGCGGCGGACGGGUGAGUAACACGUGGAUAACCUACCUAUAGGACUGGGAUAACUUCGGGAAACCGGAGCUAACACCGGAUAAUAUAUUGAACCGCAUGGUUCAAUAGUGAAAGACGGUUUUGCUGUCACUUAUAGAUGGAUCCGCGCCGCAUUAGCUAGUUGGUAAGGUAACGGCUUACCAAGGCAACGAUGCGUAGCCGACCUGAGAGGGUGAUCGGCCACACUGGAACUGAGACACGGUCCAGACUCCUACGGGAGGCAGCAGUAGGGAAUCUUCCGCAAUGGGCGAAAGCCUGACGGAGCAACGCCGCGUGAGUGAUGAAGGUCUUCGGAUCGUAAAACUCUGUUAUUAGGGAAGAACAAAUGUGUAAGUAACUAUGCACGUCUUGACGGUACCUAAUCAGAAAGCCACGGCUAACUACGUG
RNAcentral lists this ribosomal RNA (497 nucleotides) under uncultured bacterium. RNAcentral describes it as "partial 16S ribosomal RNA". It matches the Rfam family "Bacterial small subunit ribosomal RNA", at positions 28 to 507 of the family's 1533-position model. The record is from RNAcentral.